This 915-nucleotide ribosomal RNA is filed under the name Rhodocollybia incarnata. RNAcentral's name for it is "eukaryotic LSU rRNA". It matches the Rfam family "Eukaryotic large subunit ribosomal RNA", at positions 44 to 943 of the family's 3401-position model. Lineage: Eukaryota; Fungi; Basidiomycota; Agaricomycetes; Agaricales; Omphalotaceae. The record is from RNAcentral.
CAAUAAGCGGAGGAAAAGAAACUAACAAGGGAUUCCCCUAGUAACUGCGAGUGAAGAGGGAAAAGCUCAAAUUUAAAAUCUGGCAGUCUUUGAUUGUCCGAGUUGUAAUUUAGAGAAGUGUUACCCGUGUUGGCCCGUGUACAAGUUUCCUGGAAUGGAACGUCAUAGAGGGUGAGAAUCCCGUCUUUGACACGGACUACCAAUGCAUUGUGGUAUGCUCUCGAAGAGUCGAGUUGUUUGGGAAUGCAGCUCUAAAUGGGUGGUAAAUUCCAUCUAAAGCUAAAUAUUGGGGAGAGACCGAUAGCGAACAAGUACCGUGAGGGAAAGAUGAAAAGAACUUUGGAAAGAGAGUUAAACAGUACGUGAAAUUGCUGAAAGGGAAACGCUUGAAGUCAGUCGCGUUAGUCGGGGAUCAGCCUUCCUUCUGGUUGGUGUACUUCCUGAUUGACGGGUCAGCAUCAGUUUUGACCGGUGGAUAAGAGCUUGAGGAAUGUGGCAUCUUCGGGUGUGUUAUAGCCUCUUGUUGUAUACAUCGGUUGGGACUGAGGAACUCAGCACGCCGCAAGGCCGGGUUUUUAACCACGUACGUGCUUAGGAUGCUGGCAUAAUGGCUUUAAUCGACCCGUCUUGAAACACGGACCAAGGAGUCUAACAUGCCUGCGAGUGUUUGGGUGGAAAACCCGAGCGCGUAAUGAAAGUGAAAGUUAGGAUCUCUGUCGUGGAGAGCACUGACGCCCGGCCCAGACCUUUUGUGACGGUGCCGCGGUUGAGCAUGUAUGUUGGGACCCGAAAGAUGGUGAACUAUGCCUGAAUAGGGUGAAGCCAGAGGAAACUCUGGUGGAGGCUCGUAGCGAUUCUGACGUGCAAAUCGAUCGUCGAAUUUGGGUAUAGGGGGCGAAAGACUAAUCGAACCAU